This 509-nucleotide ribosomal RNA is filed under the name Mesonia sp. Its description in RNAcentral is "bacterial SSU rRNA". It matches the Rfam family "Bacterial small subunit ribosomal RNA", at positions 391 to 898 of the family's 1533-position model. Lineage: Bacteria; Pseudomonadati; Bacteroidota; Flavobacteriia; Flavobacteriales; Flavobacteriaceae. The record is from RNAcentral.
GCCAUGCCGCGUGCAGGAAGACUGCCCUAUGGGUUGUAAACUGCUUUUAUAGAGGAAGAAACCUCCCUACGUGUAGGGAGCUGACGGUACUCUACGAAUAAGGAUCGGCUAACUCCGUGCCAGCAGCCGCGGUAAUACGGAGGAUCCAAGCGUUAUCCGGAAUCAUUGGGUUUAAAGGGUCCGUAGGCGGGCAGUUAAGUCAGUGGUGAAAGUCUUCCGCUCAACGGGAGAAUUGCCAUUGAUACUGAUUGUCUUGAGUCAUUAUGAAGUGGUUAGAAUGAGUAGUGUAGCGGUGAAAUGCAUAGAUAUUACUCAGAAUACCGAUUGCGAAGGCAGAUCACUAAUAAUGUACUGACGCUGAUGGACGAAAGCGUAGGUAGCGAACAGGAUUAGAUACCCUGGUAGUCUACGCCGUAAACGAUGGUUACUAGCUGUUUGGACGAUUGAGUCUGAGUGGCUAAGCGAAAGUGAUAAGUAACCCACCUGGGGAGUACGUUCGCAAGAAUGAA